GUGAGGAAUUUUCCGCAAUGGGCGAAAGCCUGACGGAGCAAUGCCGCGUGAAGGAUGAAGGCCUAUGGGUUGUAAACUUCUUUUCUCAGAAAAGAAUUAUGACGGUAUCUGAGGAAUAAGCAUCGGCUAACUCUGUGCCAGCAGCCGCGGUAAGACAGAGGAUGCAAGCGUUAUCCGGAAUGAUUGGGCGUAAAGCGUCUGUAGGUUGUUUAAAAAGUAUUCUGUCAAAGAUUAGGGCUUAACCCUAGAUAGGCAGAAUAAACUUUUAAGCUAGAGUUUGGUAGAGGCAGAGGGAAUUCCCGGUGGAGCGGUGAAAUGCGUAGAUAUCGGGAGGAACACCAAAGGCGAAGGCACUCUGCUGGGCAAAUACUAACACUGAGAGACGAAAGCGAGGGGAGCAAAUGGGAUUAGAAACCCUGGUAGUCC
RNAcentral lists this ribosomal RNA (426 nucleotides) under uncultured bacterium. RNAcentral describes it as "partial 16S ribosomal RNA". It matches the Rfam family "Bacterial small subunit ribosomal RNA", at positions 354 to 796 of the family's 1533-position model. The record is from RNAcentral.